GUGGGAAGAAACCCGGAAGUAUCGCCGUGAAUCACAUGAGAGUUGCAAAUGCGAUGUUGUGUAUUAGGCUGUACAUCAUAUUAACGUAAAGAGAGUGAUAAUAUAUAUCCUUUCAUCUAUUCCCGAGUGACUCAAAGGGAUAUUGGACCUUAUUUUCAGAUUACAGACAACACGAGAGGGUGCUCCAAACUUUUUAAUCAGGACUGCAUUGUUUGUUCGCUCCCGGGGUUACAUAGACUGAAACGGGGAAGCGUGACGAGUUUGUUUACAUGGUGCUGUAAACUCCAACCCAGGAGGACACUUCAGAGGAAUCAAGGUGUCUGUGAUGUUGAAACACUAAAGGAAGAAGAGGAGGACCACUAUUUGUUUCCUGAUCAGAACACAAGAGAAGAAUCUAACAGUGGUUUGGGGGCAUUGCAAGACCAUGAUUACCUGGAAACAUCUCCUAUUAUGGAAGAGCACAACAUCAUGCUCGCAACAUUUGUGUCCUGGAUCAGUUUUUCUUGUUUCUCUGCUGUAUGAGGCAGGGGCUUCUUUCCGCAGAUUUAGCUGUAAGGUUUAAAGGUCCAGUUUUUCCUGAUCCCAUUUUUUAAACUUUAGUUAGUGUGUAAUGUUGCUGUUAGAGCAUAAAUAAUACCUGUAAAUUAUAAAGCUCAAAAUUCAAUGCCAAGCGAUAUAUUUUCUUUAAUAGAAUUUCCCUUUUAAAGCAUACAGCAAACGGACGGUUUGGACUACAGCCCUCUACUUCCCGAUUGAAUGACAUCCAAAGAAGAGUUUUUUUUUUACUAACUCUCACCCACAGGAAUACGUCAGUCGCAAGCAAAGCUCAAAUGGCUCUGCUAAGUUAAGUUGCUGUUAAAUCACAACACACUAAACAAACUACUACACAAUCAAAACUUGAUAUAUAUUUCUGAAGGAGGGACUUCAUAGAACAAG
This is a non-coding RNA of Paramisgurnus dabryanus, 936 nucleotides long. NCBI's taxonomy places the organism in Eukaryota, Metazoa, Chordata, Actinopteri, Cypriniformes, Cobitidae. The record is from RefSeq and is a predicted model, not a curated record.